RNAcentral lists this long non-coding RNA (312 nucleotides) under Gossypium barbadense (sea-island cotton). RNAcentral's name for it is "long non-coding RNA (GBAR_LNC013773)". The record is from RNAcentral. Lineage: Eukaryota; Viridiplantae; Streptophyta; Magnoliopsida; Malvales; Malvaceae.
AGAUAAUAACAAGGACACCUGGUAGAUUUAACGUUCUCAAAUGCAAAUUGGGAUGAUUUUUUCUCAUAACCUCCAUUGGCUAAAGAGUAUGAUUUGCAUGAUAAAUGAAGAAGCCUUUCUGUUAAAAAGCUUUCACCUCUGUUGAGCAGUGAAAAGGUACCGCAUCCUGAAUUCAAGUUUGAUCGUAUAUGGAAUCUAAAGAUACCCCCGAAAAUUUGAAGCUUCUUGUGAAUGCUCAUCAUUGACAGAAUUCCAACAAUGUCAUUCUUAAUUAAUAAAGGUGUUCAUAUUGACCAAGUGCAAAGUCUCUUC